This 501-nucleotide ribosomal RNA is filed under the name uncultured bacterium. Its description in RNAcentral is "bacterial SSU rRNA". It matches the Rfam family "Bacterial small subunit ribosomal RNA", at positions 28 to 573 of the family's 1533-position model. The record is from RNAcentral.
AACGAACGCUGGCGGCAUGCCUAACACAUGCAAGUCGAACGAACCCUUCGGGGUUAGUGGCGCACGGGUGCGUAACGCGUGGGAACCUGCCUUUAGGUUCGGAAUAACUCAGAGAAAUUUGAGCUAAUACCGGAUAAUGUCUUCGGACCAAAGAUUUAUCGCCUUUAGAUGGGCCCGCGUUAGAUUAGAUAGUUGGUGGGGUAAUGGCCUACCAAGUCGACGAUCUAUAGCUGGUCUGAGAGGAUGAUCAGCCACACUGGGACUGAGACACGGCCCAGACUCCUACGGGAGGCAGCAGUGGGGAAUAUUGGACAAUGGGCGAAAGCCUGAUCCAGCAAUGCCGCGUGAGUGAUGAAGGCCUUAGGGUUGUAAAGCUCUUUUACCUAGGGAUGAUAAUGACAGUACCUGGAGAAUAAGCUCCGGCUAACUCCGUGCCAGCAGCCGCGGUAAUACGGAGGGAGGCUAGCGUUGUUCGGAAUUACUGGGCGUAAGACGCGCGUA